Molecule: unclassified non-coding RNA, 431 nt
Filed under: Dendrocousinsia lesteri
Lineage: Eukaryota; Viridiplantae; Streptophyta; Magnoliopsida; Malpighiales; Euphorbiaceae
Description: partial miscellaneous RNA
Rfam family: Eukaryotic small subunit ribosomal RNA (bases 368-431)
Source: RNAcentral
AUCUUCUUCAUCGGAUCCGGAAUGCCAUCGCGUGAAUCCUGGCACGUAUAGUUCCUGUGUUGCAUACCCUUUUUAGCGGAAUUCGGAGUCGGAAAAGAUAAGUUUCGCCUCGUGCCUUAUGGUUCGGGGUGAACUAUGCAGCUGCACCCGUGUUCCAAGCAAAUGCCAUUUUGGCAGCCAUGGCCCAUGGGAUGCAGCUCGUGUUGGUUGGAUACGGAAUGCUUAUAUCGGGCUAGUGGGAACCUUUCCUUCAUGAGCCCGUUGUCCCUUUGUAUUUGAACGACCGAAGCGUCCGUAUUGGGACUUUCGGCAGUCGCGCAAUGGGCUGUCGUCGGUCGCCUGCGGAGCUCGAAGUCGCGGAAGAUGCUACCUGGUUGAUCCUGCCAGUAGUCAUAUGCUUGUCUCAAAGAUUAAGCCAUGCAUGUGUAAGU